Molecule: ribosomal RNA, 253 nt
Filed under: uncultured prokaryote
Description: partial 16S ribosomal RNA
Rfam family: Bacterial small subunit ribosomal RNA
Source: RNAcentral
ACGUAGGCAGCUAGCGUUGUUCGGAAUUACUGGGCGUAAAGCGAGUGUAGGCGGUUUGCCAAGUCCGUUGUGAAAUCUCCCGGCUCAACUGGGAGGGUGCGGCGGAAACUGGCAGGCUAGAGUGCGGAAUGGGAGAGUGGAAUUCCUGGUGUAGCGGUGAAAUGCGUAGAUAUCGGGAGGAACAUCUGUGGCGAAGGCGACACCCUGGACCAGCACUGACACUGAGGCACGAAAGCGUGGGGAGCAAACAGGA